Molecule: transfer RNA, 71 nt
Organism: Loxodonta africana (African savanna elephant)
Lineage: Eukaryota; Metazoa; Chordata; Mammalia; Proboscidea; Elephantidae
Rfam family: tRNA
About the family: Transfer RNA (tRNA) molecules are approximately 80 nucleotides in length. Their secondary structure includes four short double-helical elements and three loops (D, anti-codon, and T loops). Further hydrogen bonds mediate the characteristic L-shaped molecular structure. tRNAs have two regions of fundamental functional importance: the anti-codon, which is responsible for specific mRNA codon recognition, and the 3' end, to which the tRNAs corresponding amino acid is attached (by aminoacyl-tRNA synthetases). tRNAs cope with the degeneracy of the genetic code in two manners: having more than one tRNA (with a specific anti-codon) for a particular amino acid; and 'wobble' base-pairing, i.e. permitting non-standard base-pairing at the 3rd anti-codon position.
Source: Rfam
GCAGUGGUGGUUCAGUGGUAGAAAUCUUGCCUUCCAUGUAGGAGACCCGUGUUUGAUUCCUGGCCAAUACA